RNAcentral lists this ribosomal RNA (588 nucleotides) under uncultured bacterium. Its description in RNAcentral is "bacterial SSU rRNA". It matches the Rfam family "Bacterial small subunit ribosomal RNA", at positions 338 to 916 of the family's 1533-position model. The record is from RNAcentral.
CCUACGGGAGGCAGCAGUGGGGAAUAUUGGACCAUGGGGGCAACCCUGAUCCAGCGACGCCGCGUGUGUGAAGAAGGCCUGCGGGUUGUAAAGCACUUUUAGUGGGGAGGAAAUGCUCAGACCUAACACGUCUGAGAGCUGACUUAACCCAAAGAAAAAGCACCGGCUAACUCUGUGCCAGCAGCCGCGGUAAUACAGAGGGCGCAAGCGUUAAUCGGAAUUACUGGGCGUAAAGCGAACGUAGGCGGUUACCUAAGUCGGAUGUGAAAUCCCCGGGCUCAACCUGGGAAUUGCAUUCGAGACUGGAUAGCUAGAAUGCGGAAGAGGGAAGCGGAAUUUCCGGUGUAGCGGUGAAAUGCGUAGAUAUCGGAAGGAACAUCAGUGGCGAAAGCGGCUUCCUGGUCCAGCAUUGACGCUCAGGUUCGAAAGCGUGGGGAGCAAACAGGAUUAGAUACCCUGGUAGUCCACGCCAUAAACGAUGAGGACUAGACGUUGAGAGGGUUAGCCUCCCAGUGUCGCAGCUAACGCGCUAAGUCCUCCGCCUGGGGAGUACGGCCGCCAAAGGUUGAAACUCAAAGGAAUUGACGG